GUGUUCCACGCUGUCGGUUCGCCGCCCGUCGGCGUUAACUGGCAUGUCCUGUGGAACGUCCUGCCGGUGGCGGUCCGGGCCCUCGGCCUGCGUAAAGACCUUGCGUCUGAAGCAGGGCGAAGCGGUGCCGGCCGCCGGUUCAAUCCCGCCACGGUGCUCUUCACCGAGUGUCGAGGUGGGCCGGCACGUUUACUUUGAACAAAUUAGAGUGCUUAAAGCAGGCUGGUGUCCGCCUGAAUACUGUGUGCAUGGAAUAAUGGAAUAGGACCUCGGUUCUAUUUUGUUGGUUUUCGGAACCCGAGGUAAUGAUUAAUAGGGACAGGCGGGGGCAUUCGUAUUGCGACGUUAGAGGUGAAAUUCUUGGAUCGUCGCAAGACGAACCUAAGCGAAAGCAUUUGCCAAGUAUGUUCUCGUUAAUCAAGAACGAAAGUUAGAGGUUCGAAGGCGAUCAGAUACCGCCCUAGUUCUAACCAUAAACGAUGCCAGCCAGCGAUCCGCCGAAGUUCCUCCGAUGACUCGGCGGGCAGCUUCCGGGAAACCAAAGCUUUUGGGUUCCGGGGGAAGUAUGGUUGCAAAGCUGAAACUUAAAGGAAUUGACGGAAGGGCACCACCAGGAGUGGAGCCUGCGGCUUAAUUUGACUCAACACGGGAAACCUCACCAGGCCCGGACACCGGAAGGAUUGACAGAUUGAGAGCUCUUUCUUGAUUCGGUGGGUGGUGGUGCAUGGCCGUUCUUAGUUGGUGGAGCGAUUUGUCUGGUUAAUUCCGAUAACGAACGAGACUCUAGCCUGCUAACUAGGCGAUUUCCGGUACCCACAAUAGUGUUACCGGCGAUUCAAUUUCUUCUUAGAGGGACAGGCGGCUCCUAGCCGCACGAGACUGAGCAAUAACAGGUCUGUAAUGCCCUUAGAUGUCCUGGGCCGCACGCGCGCUACACUGAAGGAAUCAGCGUGUCUUCCCUGGCCGACAGGCCCGGGUAACCCGUUGAACCUCCUUCGUGCUAGGGAUUGGGGCUUGCAAUUGUUCCCCAUGAACGAGGAAUUCCCAGUAAGCGCGAGUCAUAAGCUCGCGUUGAUUACGUCCCUGCCCUUUGUACACACCGCCCGUCGCUACUACCGAUUGAAUGAUUUAGUGAGGUCUUCGGACUGGUGCGCGGCGGUCGGUUCCACCGGCCGCCGAUGUUGCCGGAAAGAUGACCAAACUUGAUCAUUUAGAGGAAGUAAAAGU
Molecule: ribosomal RNA, 1227 nt
Filed under: Aphrophora saratogensis
Lineage: Eukaryota; Metazoa; Arthropoda; Insecta; Hemiptera; Aphrophoridae
Description: SSU rRNA
Rfam family: Eukaryotic small subunit ribosomal RNA
Source: RNAcentral